CGAAAGCCUGACGGAGCAACACCGCGUGUGGGAAGAAGGCUCUUGGGCUGUCAACCACUUUUCUCAGGGAAGAAGACCUGACGGCACCUGAAGAAUCAGCCUCGGCUAACUCCGUGCCAGCAGCCGCGGUAAUACGGAAGAGGCAAGCGUUAUCCGGAAUUAUUGGGCGUAAAGCGUCCGUAGGUGGAUAUUCAAGUCUGCUGUCAAAGCGUGGGGCUUAACUCCAUAGAGGCAGUGGAAACUGAGUGACUAGAGUGCGGUAGGGGUCGAGGGAAUUCCCAGUGUAGCGGAGAAAUGCGUAUAUAUUGGGAAGAACACCGGUGGCGAAAGCGCUCUACUGGGUCGCACCUGACCCUCAGGGACGAAAGCUAAGGUAGCG
RNAcentral lists this ribosomal RNA (379 nucleotides) under uncultured cyanobacterium. RNAcentral's name for it is "bacterial SSU rRNA". It matches the Rfam family "Bacterial small subunit ribosomal RNA", at positions 376 to 770 of the family's 1533-position model. The record is from RNAcentral. Lineage: Bacteria; Bacillati; Cyanobacteriota.